RNAcentral lists this ribosomal RNA (247 nucleotides) under uncultured bacterium. RNAcentral describes it as "partial 16S ribosomal RNA". It matches the Rfam family "Bacterial small subunit ribosomal RNA", at positions 28 to 238 of the family's 1533-position model. The record is from RNAcentral.
GACGAACGCUGGCGGCGUGCCUAAUACAUGCAAGUCGAGCGAGAGAGUAACAAGAAGCUUCUUCGGGAGUGGAAAGGAACAAUCGAGCGGCGGAUGGGUGAGUAACGCGUGGGUAACCUACCCUAUAGUAAGGGAUACCAUUUGGAAACAGAUGCUAAUACCAAAUAAGAACUGAGACCGCAUGGUUAAAGGUUUAAAAAGUAACGGCGGCAAGACUGUUCGGCUAAAGGAAAGUGGACCGUCGCGG